Long non-coding RNA from Equus caballus (horse), 2441 nucleotides. NCBI's taxonomy places the organism in Eukaryota, Metazoa, Chordata, Mammalia, Perissodactyla, Equidae. The record is from Ensembl.
GGAGUGUAAAAGGCCAGCAUUUUGGGAGGACAAUUUGGUCACAUCUUCUCAAAUGAAAAUGUGCAAUACCUUAAACCAAAAAAUUCUACUUCCUACAAACAGGCUGUUCAAGGAUGUUUAUUUUGCAUUGUUUAUAAUAGCAACACAAAUAUGUAAAAUAAAAUAAACAACCCAAAUGUCUAUCAACAUGGAAAAGGGUAAACUAUCACUAUUCAGCAGUUUAGAAAUGAGGUCGUCCUAGAUACAUUAAUAUGGAAAGUUCUCCCAAGAUUAUAUUGUUACGUGGAGAAAGCAAAUUGCAAAAGCAUGAAUAUACAGGAUACCGUUUAUGUUAACCAAUUGUGUUAACUCAGAUGAAACUCAAAUUACAACAAAGCAAAUUAGGCAAAAAACUGUCGGGAGAGAUGCACGCAGCAAACAGUUCCAACGUCAUCUUUGGGGCGGGCUCUGGGCCCGGUGGCGGGGAGCAGGUGGCCAUGUGGGAGGACUUCUGCUGCAGCUGUAAGUUUCAUUGUUCUAAAUAACAGAACAUGUUCAUGUAUUAUUUGUGCAAUUAGAAUAUAAUCAAAUACAAAUAUGAAGGAUUUUAUUUGGUUUGAAGCAAAGAACAGGCGUACGUGUGAAAGCACCUGCUGGGUCUUCAAGAUGCCUAGCAUGAAUUCCUGGGCUGCUUCCCCGGUCACAAAGGCCCCCGGAGGCAGAAAGAAGAGAGCUCAAGUCUCUGCCCAGUCAUGAGAGGUACCUUGUUCCCAGGGCAGAGGAUGAGCGUAUGUGUGUGUGAGAGAGACAGAAAGAGAGGUGUUGAUGUUUGCUUUCUGACCCUGAAACAUCAGUAUCCAGAUUUUUCCACACUAUGCUGUCCUCUGUGCCAGCAGGAGCAAGGAUGAUGUGGCAUUUCUGAGAGCAACAUCCAUCUUUUUCUGGAGUGUAUUCCAUGCCACUGAUUCCCAUUCUGCCAAGUUUGCCGCUGGCACUUUCUAGAUCUCACCAGAAGGUGUCAGCAGAACGUUUCAGACACCGUUCAGGACUCUGGUUUCUUCCUCCAAAGGUUCUUAAGGGUUUGUGGACAGAAACAUUGAGAGGCUGAGGCCAUCCAGUCAAGCUGUUAGGAGUGACACAUGUAGGAAGCGAUAUUAAAUUCAGGGUUGCCACCUAGCCAACGGAAAGUUAAGACUGCCAGUGGAGAGAUAAGUCCUGAUUUCUGAAAUAUUGAGGUAAAGUGUACAUUUCAAAACUGAUCAAAUGUAGUACUUCUCUCCCAUCAAUUCCCAACAGCCAGUGAAGUAAUUAGUCUGUAGGGAAUCCAGGGAGACGGGAAAGGGCAGUGCAGUCUUCUCGUCACCCAUCACCCCUCAAAUGAGGUCGAUGCAGUGGAGGCAACCUCAAUCCAAAUUUAUAGAUGCCCAGAGAGGUAAGUCAAUUCCCCAGGAUCACACAGUCAAUGAAUGGCAGAGUCAGGACUUGAACUCAUGACCUGUGGCUCUGAAUCCAGUGCUUACUCUAUUCUGCUACAUGUUCAAGGGAGCUUUCUGGAGGAGGGUGCUUGGGGCUGGGCGUUGACCAUACGGCAUGUUUGGCCCUUGUGAACACCUGAGGGGGCCCAGCAUGGUUCUCACUGUUCACAGGACCAGACACUGUUGGGCCAGGAGGGGACGGGCCAUGGUAUGCUUCAGUUCUGUUUCAGCUCUGAACUGCUGAUGUCUUGCUCUGGACCUUCCUCUCUCCGAGCCGGAGUGCAGGAAAGAGUGUGUCAGACUCUAGGGUCGCUGACAGGCCUCCCAGUUCUGGAGCUCUGUGACCGAGUGACUUCCAGAAAGACAACUGUGUGAGACUGUGAAGCCUUGUUUCUCCGCUGGUCGGCUCAAGGAGCCUCGUGGUAGUGCUGGACUAAGGACUCUGGGCCUCACCCUGCCUGAGGACUCUGGACUCAGUGGGUGCAAAAGACUGUGUUGCUGAAGUUCACUGAACUGCACCUGGCCUCAGGGGAAGUGGACGCUCAGUCCUCAGAGACCAGGGAAUACCUGUGAGCAAAAGCCUUUGGCCUUGGAUUGCUGAGCCCACCUUCUGAGAGCCCAGGAUCAUGGAGGAAGAACCUAGGAAUAGAGAGAGCAAGGUCCUUGUCAGCCAGGAAGAUUCACUCUUGAUUGAAAGCACAAGUUCCCUGUCUUUGGGCUUCCUGGGCAUCAUCAUUUGUGGAAACGUCCAUUUUGUGUGCCAUAGGAGGGAGAGCGUUGAAGAGAGGAGAGUGAUGAUGAUGAUGAGAAGAGAUGACUGCUGCAUUCCCCAACAGUCCUUACGCCAGGCUGGGCUGAGGGCCUGCAUUCAGCACAUUGUUUUGGUGAAUUCUUCCAACAAUUCAUGAGGCGGGCACAGCCAGCUGGACUGUGCGCAUUAUGAGGGCAGGGCUCAUUUACCGCAGCAUCCGGUCAUCUAGAGCAAGG